UUAGGGCGCUUUCGGAGGGGCGUGCGGUCGAUUAGCUAGUUGGUGUGGUAACGGCGCACCAAGGCGACGAUCCGUAGCUGGUCUGAGAGGAUGAUCAGCCACACUGGGACUGAGACACGGCCCAGACUCCUACGGGAGGCAGCAGUGGGGAAUAUUGGACAAUGGGCGCAAGCCUGAUCCAGCCAUGCCGCGUGAGUGACGAAGGCCUUAGGGUUGUAAAACUCUUUUGGCGGGGACGAUAAUGACGGUACCCGCAGAAUAAGCUCCGGCUAACUUCGUGCCAGCAGCCGCGGUAAUACGAAGGGAGCUAGCGUUGUUCGGAAUUACUGGGCGUAAAGCGCACGUAGGCGGAUUUGUUAGUCAGGGGUGAAAUCCCGGGGCCCAACCUCGGAACUGCCUUUGAUACUGCAAGUCUGGAGUCCGGAAGAGGUGGGUGGAAUUCCUAGUGUAGAGGUGAAAUUCGUAG
Molecule: ribosomal RNA, 466 nt
Filed under: uncultured bacterium
Lineage: Bacteria
Description: bacterial SSU rRNA
Rfam family: Bacterial small subunit ribosomal RNA
Source: RNAcentral